This 272-nucleotide long non-coding RNA is filed under the name Mytilus galloprovincialis (Mediterranean mussel). The record is from RNAcentral. Lineage: Eukaryota; Metazoa; Mollusca; Bivalvia; Mytilida; Mytilidae.
GUUUGGGUGGGCAUGUUUGAGUCUUUUGUUGUGCCAUCCUUCCAGGUGAUUUGUGGUGCGGGGUCCUUCUGUGUAAUAGUGAUUCCAUAGAAAGCGGUAGCUUUCAACCCAGAACUCUGUCAUGUAUUCUGUAAAUGAAGUUGUAGCGGGUUUGUUUUCAGCUUCUCCAAUGUCUUCUAAAGUGUUUAGCCAAACAUCCUCAACAAGGUGGGCGGAACAAGAGGUAGUACUGCAGCUUGUCGUAUCAGUUUAGUAAUGUCUUCAUUUUCUUA